RNAcentral lists this long non-coding RNA (1036 nucleotides) under Salmo salar (Atlantic salmon). Its description in RNAcentral is "lncRNA (ENSSSAG00000082807.1)". The record is from RNAcentral. Lineage: Eukaryota; Metazoa; Chordata; Actinopteri; Salmoniformes; Salmonidae.
AAAAAAGGAAGUUGGAAGUUGUUGACUCAGGAAAGGACAUGACUUCAUUGGCACGAUUCACGUGAGAGUUAGCUGUGUUCCAUUACAUUUUUCAAGACAUUGGAAUCGUCCUGUUGGAAUAUUAUUGAAGUUUUCUGUUAAAAAGGCCCUAAAGAUUGAUGCUAUACAUCGUUUGACAUGUUUCUACGAACGUAAAUAUAACUUUUUUUGACAUUUCGUCUUUAAAUUUAACGCGCUUCCUACAUUUGGAGUAGCUUACUGAACGCGUAAACAACAAGGAGGUAUUUGGACAUAAAUUAUGGACUUUAUCGAACAAAACAACAUUUAUUGUGGACCUAGGAUUCCUGGGAGUGGAUUCUGAUGAAGAUCAUCAAAGGGCUCGGACAUUGUUCCACAAGGAUGAAUGACUCUUCAGGAAAUGACACUGACCUUGACCACCUGGAUCUUGCUUGCUUGGACCAGGCCUUUGUUGUGAUAUGGCUGAUUUUUGCUGUGCAGGCCCUGUGCUUCCUCCUGGGGACGCCAGCUCUGGUCUGGUGCCUUUGGCUCUCUCUGAGUGGAAGUCUCUCUGGAGGUCUUAAACCCACUCAGGUCUUUCCUAUUAACCUGUUUGCAGUGGAGCUGAUGUUCUGUGUCCAGGUUCUCCUUAACGUGGUCAACUACCUCAUCCAGAAUGACAUGUUCCUGCAGGCUGUGUAUUUCCUCUAUGACCUCUCCUGGACCUGCAGGCCCCUGAUCCAGAGCUGCAUCUGUGUGGAGCACUACCUGGCGGUGGCCCAACCUGUGGCUUUCCUCAAGUACAGAUUCCGGAGGUACAGGGUGGCAUGUUCAACCAUGGUCUGGGUGUUGUCCCUCACUUAUGCCUGUUUUGGUAUGCUUUUAAUGAGUUCUAAGGAAAAAGCAGAUUAUGUGCUCAUUGGUGUCUAUUGCCUUGGGAUGGCCGUCAUUUCUCUCUGCUACUUCUUCAUACUGCGUGUGCUGAAGCAGCCUGGUCCAGGAGAGGUAGAGGGGGGCAGAGGGGGAGAGAAGAAACAGG